This 1147-nucleotide long non-coding RNA is filed under the name Marmota monax (woodchuck). The record is from RNAcentral. Lineage: Eukaryota; Metazoa; Chordata; Mammalia; Rodentia; Sciuridae.
UUUUUUUUGAAAUUUUUUUAAUAUUUAUUUUUUAGUUUUCGGCGGACACAACAUCUUUGUUUGUAUGUGGUGUUGAGGAUCGAACCCGGGCCACACGCAUGCCAGGCCAGCGCGCUACCACUUGAGCCACAUCCCCAGCCCCCUUGAGGUGAAUCUUAACUGUUUCCAAGAAUCAUCUUUCUCUCAAUGGAUAGAGGUUUGCCACCCUGAAGCAUAUUCAGGAAUGUACUGUACAUUCUAAAGGCAGUUUUAAAUGAGCCAUUUUUAAACAAUAGAUACAUUAGUGUUUAGAAUAAGGAAACGGCUGCUGGGGUCAGUACUUUGAGAAAAUUAUUACAGCCAGAUGUAGUUCCCAGCACCUGUAAUUCCAGUGACUUGAGGGGCUGAGAGGAGGAUUACAAAUUGAAGGCCAGCGACUGCGGAUGUAGCUCAGUGGUAACGCAUCCCUGGGUUCAAUCCCCAGUACCAAAAAAACAAAAGAAUUAUUACAAGUCAUUCAACGUUUGAAACAAGGAUACAAUCCGCACUCACAAAAAAACAGGUAUUUCAGUGGGGAGACUUGUAGAUAAUAUUACCAAAACCUUAAGGGACAUACAUUCUGUAAUUGUCUCCAUUCAAAUGCAUCAGAACUGCUAGAGCUAGAAUGAUAUUCAAAUUUGGGUGGAGCAUUAAGGAAUAAUUGGGUGAACAAGGACGGGCCUGAAUUUUGAGUUUGUUUCCUCAACUAAUAGAAAUACAUGUGUGUUGUACUCAACUACAUCCUAGGCUAAAGUUUCUGGUUCCUUUGUUUUUGGCAGGACGGAGACCUAAAGCCUCUGAAAUAUUGCUGGGUUUCUCACUGGAUGGUCUUGGUGACUACUUUUUAAAAAGAUUCACUGUCAGUCCUCUAUAUGCACCAAAUGUUCUAGAUUAGUGCUGUCCAGUAGAAAUAUAAAGUCUCAUGUAAUUUUAAAUAGCCACAUUGCAAAAGGUAAUGUGUAAAGAAAUUUUAAUGUUUUAUUUAAUGCAAUAAAGUAAGUAUUUCAACAUGUGAUCCAUAUAAAAUUUUUGAGAUAAUCACAUUUUUUUCAUGCUGAAUCUUCAAUUUGGACUAUCAACAUCUCAAGUGCUCACUAAUCACAUGUAGCUACUAUAUUGUAUGGCAAAG